RNAcentral lists this small RNA (121 nucleotides) under Salmonella enterica subsp. enterica serovar Paratyphi A str. ATCC 9150. Its description in RNAcentral is "rtT RNA gene". It matches the Rfam family "RtT RNA". Rfam says of the family: This family represents a bacterial cis-regulatory element known as RtT RNA. Lineage: Bacteria; Pseudomonadati; Pseudomonadota; Gammaproteobacteria; Enterobacterales; Enterobacteriaceae. RNAcentral also lists the same sequence under 1 other name. The record is from RNAcentral.
CGGGGAAGGAUGAGAAGCUUCGACUAAGGUUCGAUUCGAGCGCAGCGAGAAAGCGUUGCCGCAGGCAACGACCCGAAGGGCGAAGCGCGCAGCGCUGAGUCAUCCUUCCCCCACCACCAUC